This 371-nucleotide ribosomal RNA is filed under the name uncultured bacterium. RNAcentral describes it as "bacterial SSU rRNA". It matches the Rfam family "Bacterial small subunit ribosomal RNA", at positions 29 to 430 of the family's 1533-position model. The record is from RNAcentral.
AAUGAACGCUGGCGGCAUGCCUAACACAUGCAAGUCGAACGAGACCUUCGGGUCUAGUGGCGCACGGGUGCGUAACGCGUGGGAAUCUGCCCUUGGGUUCGGAAUAACAGAGGGAAACUUCUGCUAAUACCGGAUAAUGACGUAAGUCCAAAGAUUUAUCGCCCAAGGAUGAGCCCGCGUAGGAUUAGCUAGUUGGUGAGGUAAAGGCUCACCAAGGCGACGAUCCUUAGCUGGCUGAGAGGAUGAUCAGCCACACUGGGACUGAGACACGGCCCAGACUCCUACGGGAGGCAGCAGUGGGGAAUUUUGGACAAUGGGGGCAACCCUGAUCCAGCCAUGCCGCGUGCGGGAAGAAGGCCUCGGUUGUAACG